GAUGACGGUUGCAAGGGUAAUGGU
RNAcentral lists this non-coding RNA (24 nucleotides) under Arabidopsis thaliana (thale cress). The record is from RNAcentral. Lineage: Eukaryota; Viridiplantae; Streptophyta; Magnoliopsida; Brassicales; Brassicaceae.